UCAAUAGUUUCAAGUAUCUUACAUCAAUUUUGUUUCAUUUCUUUUGAAUUUGUAUACUUUGUUACUCAAACCUUAAUUGAUAAAGAGUUCUUCAUAUUUUGUUGGCUCCGUUUUCUUUUAUGUUGUCUGAGAUGUGUUCUUUAUUGUAUUCUCGUCAUAUGAGUCAAAUAUAGAGAGGAUCUGAAAAAAGUUGUGACGUCAGCAUAGUUUGGAAGUUGUACUCUGAAGAUGGUUUCAUUCUGAGUAUAAAUCUCGAACUGGAGUAAAGUCUGAUGGGGUUUUCAAUAUCUUGGAACGACUUGUCACACAGAAAACUAAUGAGGAUGAUUCAAAUUUUAAAUAUAAAUAUAUUUCUUUCUCAGAUAAA
Episyrphus balteatus (marmalade hoverfly) is the source of this 367-nucleotide long non-coding RNA. RefSeq lists it as uncharacterized. The record is from RefSeq and is a predicted model, not a curated record. The transcript has 2 exons. NCBI's taxonomy places the organism in Eukaryota, Metazoa, Arthropoda, Insecta, Diptera, Syrphidae.